RNAcentral lists this long non-coding RNA (2421 nucleotides) under Neogobius melanostomus (round goby). RNAcentral describes it as "lncRNA (ENSNMLG00000010245.1)". Lineage: Eukaryota; Metazoa; Chordata; Actinopteri; Gobiiformes; Gobiidae. The record is from RNAcentral.
UUGAAACUCUUCUUCAUUGUGUCAAGAUCUUCCAGAGAUGAAUCAGUUUUCCCCAGAACUCCCCCAAACGAACACAAGAAUCAGCCCAACAACAGAGCAGGCGACACAAGUGAAAGAUUUUUGCACUAAAGUCAAAGCUAAAUGCACUGAAAAUGAUUUAGCUGACAGUUGCAGCACAAGAUUGUAUUCACAAACACAUUUUUCAAGCGUUAAUAUCAGUCCCAUUGUAAAAAAAAAAAAGGUGCCUUUUAUCGACCGUGUCUUAUAUACUGUGAGUUAUCUGGCUGCCGUUAUUAGCAUUUUAUAUAAAAAGAGCCACUCUUUGAACGGCUCUUUGAAAUGAAUGGCUCCCAAAGACGAUGUUUAAAAACGUCCUCCCUUUAAUCUCACAUUACUGGAGAGUCUUUAAAUUACUGUCAUAUGUCGGGUUAGCAACAAGUUCACCUGUCCUUCCAAACCAUACGAUGCAGUGUGUGCACCGUUACUUUAUAUGAUCUCUGUGUGUUCAUAUGAUUUUGGUCUUUUAUUUUAUGGGAACAUAUUUUAAAAUGUCUAAACAUUCUUUAAAGCUUAAAGUUCUCUUAAACAAAUUAUAUGAAUUCCCAUUGCGUAUGCUUUGGACUCACUUCAGUCUUCCAACAGUGCGUCUCAGUGCAGCAUCUUCACGUUGCGUCUUCAAUCCUCUUUUUUUUUUACUUGGGACACAAAAUUGCUGUUCAUGGGAUAUCCAGUCAUAAUAGAAGUGAAUAGGAAUCAAUGAAGUGUAAAUCAAAGGUUGAAGCAGGAACGAGCAUCUGGAGGCAUGAGGGAAAUUAUAUGUAUAACGUAUAUAUUUAUGUAUUUAUUCUAACUUCAAACUAUUUAAAUUAUUUUUGAGUUUCAUUUGCACAAAUCAACUUGCUGCUGUAACUAAGGGAAAAGGGAAGCCGUUGUUUUUUGUUUUUUUGCUAAAACUGACCAUUUCGACAAUAAGCACACAUAUGCUCCACACACAAAAAAAGUAACACUGUGCACUUUUAGUGAUUGGUUCUUGAGCAUGGUCUGCCCUGGGACCACAACGCUGAAACUAAAAAGAACACUCUAAUGUUAUGUUGUUUUUGCAUCAUAAAACACUGUAAUUUUAGCUUAGAUGUAGCGCAGCACUGUGAGGUAGACCAUCACUGUACCUGAAGGUGGAGGAGACCAGAACAAAGUUAAUGAUUUUAUUCCACACAGAGCCAGUGUUUCAUUCAGCUACUGUUGAGCUCUGAAACAACAUUUAGUGCCAAUGAUGAGAGACGCACUCGGAACAAAAGUAAAAUAAACACUUCUCUCACUGUGGCCUGUCCCAUGUUUGUGCCACAGACUCAUUCAGUAUUCUGGCUCAAACUGACAGUUGAACACAUACUGAAGGAUCCCCACAGUCAAAAGGGGCAAAGUUAGAUCAAAGAUAUGGCAUCCUGUGAUUUUUGUUGCUGAAAUUAAGCAGGACUAUAAAUUUGAGAGAUAUUUGCUAAAUGUAGGCGAGUUAUUUGCAACUUCAGAACAACAAACACAAGGGUAAUCUAAGGUCAUUGGUAGGAAAGGACUGGAAAGAAAAAUGAGAAUGUCAUUUGUGUCAAUAAUUGUUUUGGCGAUGAAUUACCUGUCAUGUUAGAGCGUACAAACAAGGAGAUACUGUUAUUUAGAGAGAAAUAUCUGCCAAAGUAUUAUUGUAAUUAUCCAUCCAUUUGCUCUGCUUUUUCCCGGAUCUUGUAGGCAGCUCAGACUUCCACGCAGCUGGUAGGGAUCGGUGCUCCUGUUUCAAUCUACAAGCACAAAAACAAUCUGUAAUCUCGGUGCUUCUUAAAGGGAAUUCCUACCACUGUAUCAGUGAAGUAUAUUAUUUUGUUUGUCAGUGUCAGUGUUGUGAAGAGCAAUCAAGUUGCCCUGGUGAACGAUGCUCUUUUCUGCUUCAACUUCAAUUACAAAUUGAAAGUCGAGCGCUUUGUGAGGUAAUCCACCAAUAGCAGCAAGUCAAAGAUUUCCAACUUCGAAAAUUUCCAUCAAUCAAACGAUAUACGGUAGUUUUCUCAAUCGAAAACAUGCACAAUAAUCCUCCAACUAGGUAUUACGGCUCUAACUGGGACCACAGCACUUUAUAUACAAAUAAAGUUUUAUAAGCUUUAAAACAAAUAAUAAAAAAUAUAUAGAUAUAACGGUCUGUUCACAACAAUAAGCUAUUGGUGGAUUGGGUUAGUGUGUUGGGAUUUAAAAAGUCCUAACGAGCAAUACCAAACUGGAUUCCAUAUGCAUGUAGAGAUAGUCUAUUUAGUUUGUUUGCUUUUAGCAUUAAUAGCGUAUGGAUGUUGUGUGUGUGAAAUCAAAAUGCUGCCUUAAAUCAUGUAAAUUUUUCAUGAGCUUUUUCCAAUAAAUUUCCAAUAAAACAAUUUAAAGACAAAU